RNAcentral lists this microRNA precursor (86 nucleotides) under Nomascus leucogenys (northern white-cheeked gibbon). RNAcentral's name for it is "miRNA (ENSNLEG00000028441.1)". The record is from RNAcentral. Lineage: Eukaryota; Metazoa; Chordata; Mammalia; Primates; Hylobatidae.
UUAAGUUGAUGCAAAAGUAAUUGCGGUUUUUGCCAUUGAAAGUAAUGGCAAAAAUUGCAAUUACUUUUGCAUCAAGCUAAUACAAA